UGAAUACGAGAUGCUACGGCGUCGAAGCAGUCUAUGUCAUACUUCCAAGAAAAGCUUGCACUGUCAUAAACAAAUAAUGCCUGUACCAUAACCGACACAGGUGGGUAGGUAGAGUAUACUAAGGGGCGCGAGAUAACUCUCUCUAAGGAACUCGGCAAAAUGACUCCGUAACUUCGGGAGAAGGAGUGCCUUAUUUAUAAGGUUGCAAUAACAAGAUCCAAGCAACUGUUUACCAAAAACACAGGUCUCCGCUAAGUCGUAAGACGAUGUAUGGGGGCUGACGCCUGCCCAGUGCCAGAAGGUUAAAGAAGUUGGUUAGCAUCCGCGAAGCUGAUAACUGAAGCCCUGGUGAACGGCGGCCGUAACAAUAACGGUCCUAAGGUAGCGAAAUUCCUUGUCGGGUAAGUUCCGACCCGCACGAAAGGCGUAAUGAUUUGGAUACUGUCUCGGAGAGGGGCUCGGUGAAAUAGACUUGUCUGUGAAGAUGCGGACUACCUGCACCAGGACAGAAAGACCCUAUGAAGCUUUACUGUAACCUGAAAUUGAAGUUGGACUUUACUUGCGCAGUAUAGGUGGGAGGCGUUGAGAAUAUUCUUGCGGGAUUAUUGGAGCCAUCAGUGAGAUACCACUCUUGUAAUGUUAGAUUUCUAACUUUGUAUCAUUAUCUGGUCAAAGAACAGUUUCAGGCGGGCAGUUUGACUGGGGCGGUCGCCUCCUAAACGGUAACGGAGGCGCACAAAGGUUUCCUCUGAACGGGUAGAAAUCGUAUCUAGAGUGUAAAGGCAUAAGGAAGCUUGACUGUGAGACCUACAAGUCGAGCAGGGACGAAAGUCGGUCUUAGUGAUCUGACGGUGCUGAGUGGAAAGGCCGUCACUCAACGGAUAAAAGUUACUCUAGGAUAACAGGCUGAUCUCCCCCAAGAGUUCACAUCGACGGGGAGGUUUGGCACCUCGAUGUCGGCUCAUCGCAUCCUGGGGCGGUAGUACGUCCCAAGGGUUGGGCUGUUCGCCCAUGAAAGCGGUACGCGAGCUGGGUUCAGAACGUCGUGAGACAGUUCGGUCCAUAUCCGGUGUAGGCGUUAGAAUAUUGAGAGGAGCCUUCUUUAGUACGAGAGGACCGAGAAGGACAUACCUCUGGUGUACCAGUUAUCGUGCCAACGGUAAACGCUGGGUAGCUAUGUGUGGAGUGGAUAACCGCUGAAAGCAUCUAAGUGGGAAGCCCACCUCAAGAUAAGUAUUCU
This 1240-nucleotide ribosomal RNA is filed under the name metagenome. RNAcentral's name for it is "bacterial LSU rRNA". It matches the Rfam family "Bacterial large subunit ribosomal RNA", at positions 1564 to 2814 of the family's 2925-position model. The record is from RNAcentral.